GGCGCUAUAGCCAAGUGGUUACGGCGACAGAUUAGAAUGAAUAGCUGUUAGGUCCCAAAUCUGUUCCUCUUUGAGGGCGCAGGUUCGAAUCCUGCUGGCGUCG
Dendrothele bispora CBS 962.96 is the source of this 103-nucleotide non-coding RNA. The record is from the annotation of a GenBank genome assembly. Lineage: Eukaryota; Fungi; Basidiomycota; Agaricomycetes; Agaricales.